GAAUUACCUGUCUUUGAGUACCUGCUCCAUGAUAAGUUUAUUGCUGAGGGCCAUUUCUGUUUCUGGAUAUUAUAAAGCAUGACCUCUAGGAAACCUCCUAUAGUUCAUAUCAG
Bison bison bison is the source of this 113-nucleotide unclassified non-coding RNA. Lineage: Eukaryota; Metazoa; Chordata; Mammalia; Artiodactyla; Bovidae. The record is from Ensembl.